RNAcentral lists this ribosomal RNA (255 nucleotides) under uncultured bacterium. Its description in RNAcentral is "partial 16S ribosomal RNA". It matches the Rfam family "Bacterial small subunit ribosomal RNA", at positions 524 to 776 of the family's 1533-position model. The record is from RNAcentral.
UACGUAGGGUGCAAGCGUUAAUCGGAAUUACUGGGCGUAAAGCGUGCGCAGGCGGCCCUUUAAGUCUACCCGUGAAAUGCCGGAGCUCAACUCCGUGCACGCCGGGGGAUACUGGGGGGCUGGAGACAUGUAGAGGCAAGCGGAAUUCCGGGUGUAGCGGUGGAAUGCGUAGAGAUCCGGAAGAACACCUGAGGCGAAGGCGGCUUGCUGGGCAUGAUCUGACGCUGAGGCGCGAAAGCGUGGGGAGCAAACAGG